RNAcentral lists this small RNA (696 nucleotides) under Pongo abelii (Sumatran orangutan). RNAcentral's name for it is "retained intron". Lineage: Eukaryota; Metazoa; Chordata; Mammalia; Primates; Hominidae. The record is from RNAcentral.
GGGAAGACCAAAUUGAUAGACUGGACUUUAUUCGAAACCAGAUGAACCUUUUAACCCUGGAUGUUAAGAAAAAAAUCAAGGAGGUUACCGAGGAGGUGGCAAACAAAGUGGGUAACAGUAGCUUCAUGAUUAAAAUAACCUGGAUGGAAAUUAUUUUUGAUAAUGCUAAAAAUGUUAUUCCUGUUACUUUAAAAGAAUGUUUUAAGAUUUUUCAAUUUAAUUUUUUUGAGUAAUUGGUUAUCUUGUUUAAUUAUUUUAACUCCAAAAUUUUCAUAUUUUCAGGUUUCAUGUGCAAUGACAGAUGAAAUUUGUCGACUGUCUCUUUUGGUUGAUGAAUUUUGUUCAGAGUUUCAUCCUAAUCCAGAUGUAUUAAAAAUAUAUAAAAGUGAAUUAAAUAAGCACAUAGAGGAUGGUAUGGGAAGAAAUUUGGCUGAUCGAUGCACCGAUGAAGUGAACGCCUUAGUGCUUCAGACCCAGCAAGAAAUUAUUGAAAAUUUGAAGCCAUUACUUCCAGCUGGUAUACAGGAUAAACUACAUACACUGAUCCCUUGCAAGAAAUUUGAUCUCAGUUAUAAUCUAAAUUACCACAAGUUAUGUUCAGAUUUUCAAGAGGAUAUUGUAUUUCGUUUUUCCCUGGGCUGGUCUUCCCUUGUACAUCGAUUUUUGGGCCCUAGAAAUGCUCAAAGGGUGCUCCUA